This 165-nucleotide ribosomal RNA is filed under the name Bromus catharticus (rescuegrass). Its description in RNAcentral is "5.8S ribosomal RNA". It matches the Rfam family "5.8S ribosomal RNA". Rfam says of the family: 5.8S ribosomal RNA (5.8S rRNA) is a component of the large subunit of the eukaryotic ribosome. It is transcribed by RNA polymerase I as part of the 45S precursor that also contains 18S and 28S rRNA. RNAcentral also lists the same sequence under 1 other name. The record is from RNAcentral. Lineage: Eukaryota; Viridiplantae; Streptophyta; Magnoliopsida; Poales; Poaceae.
CACACGACUCUCGGCAACGGAUAUCUCGGCUCUCGCAUCGAUGAAGAACGUAGCGAAAUGCGAUACCUGGUGUGAAUUGCAGAAUCCCGCGAACCAUCGAGUCUUUGAACGCAAGUUGCGCCCGAGGCCACUCGGCCGAGGGCACGCCUGCCUGGGCGUCACGCC